AUGAGCUGUGGCAGCGCGGCGAAGAAGUCGGUCCUCGGUCGGUGUGUCAUCGGGUCGAAGCCCAUCUGGAUCAGCUUCUUCUUCAGGUGGGUGUUCCAGAAGUUCUUGAUCUCGUUGUCAGUCCGUCCGGGGAGGUGCUUCGCGAUGGCUGACCACCUGGUUUCAUCAGCACAACCCAGUUUGUGUGUGUUAGCAAGAGCACCACAUAUAUAUGUUUUUGAAGAUUAUACAACACAUGUAGACCAUUCUCGAAGAUUAAUAAGCAAGAGAUUUGAUAGGUAUGCCAUACUUGUUGCCAAGGACGGAGUGGAGCUGGAGGAUGGUCUGCUCUUCCUCGGGUGUGAACUUUCCUCUCUUGAUAUCUGGCCUCAGGUAGUUGGUCCAUCUCAGUCUGCAGCUCUUGCCACACCUGUUGAGUCCUGUGAGAUGCACAGAAGAACCAGACGCAUGAGCUACAUUUCGGAUCAAAGCUAG
This 474-nucleotide ribosomal RNA is filed under the name Triticum aestivum (bread wheat). RNAcentral's name for it is "partial small subunit ribosomal RNA". The record is from RNAcentral. Lineage: Eukaryota; Viridiplantae; Streptophyta; Magnoliopsida; Poales; Poaceae.